CAUUUUCAGGAAAUAGCUUUGAUUUCGUUUUUUUAAACUAAAACCGUACUUAAACCGACACAGGUAAAUAAAUUUAGUAAAUUAAGAUGUUGAGUUAACUGUUGUUGAAGGAACUCGGCAAAAUGACUCCGUAACUUCGGGAUAAGGAGUGGCUUUUUUUGGGCAACCUUUUUAAGCUCACAGAAAAUCGGGAACAGCGACUGUUUAAUAAAAACACAGGUUUCUGCUAAUUUGUAAAAAGAUGUAUAGAAACUGACGCCUGCCCAGUGCUAAAAAACUAACGAAAAAAGUUUUGGCUUUAAUCCUAACUUUUAGUAAACGGCGGCUGUAACUCUGACGGUCCAAAGGUAGCGAAAUUCCUUGUCGGGUAAGUUCCGACCUGCACGAAUGGCGUAACGACUUCCCCACUGUCUCCAGCAUCGACUCAGCGAAAUUGAAGUCCCCGUGAAGAUGCGGGGUACCCGCGGUCAGACGGAAAGACCCCGUGAACCUUUACUACAGCUUGGCACUGAACAUUGAACCUACAUGUGUAGGAUAGGUGGGAGGCUUUGAAGCACAGUCGCUAGAUUGUGUGGAGCCGUCCUUGAAAUACCACCCUUGUAUGUUUGAUGUUCUAACA
This 619-nucleotide ribosomal RNA is filed under the name Ochromonas sp. CCMP1393. RNAcentral's name for it is "partial Bacterial large subunit ribosomal RNA". It matches the Rfam family "Bacterial large subunit ribosomal RNA", at positions 1603 to 2227 of the family's 2925-position model. Lineage: Eukaryota; Chrysophyceae; Chromulinales; Chromulinaceae. The record is from RNAcentral.